Molecule: ribosomal RNA, 99 nt
Filed under: Flavobacterium sp. HTF
Lineage: Bacteria; Pseudomonadati; Bacteroidota; Flavobacteriia; Flavobacteriales; Flavobacteriaceae
Description: partial 16S ribosomal RNA
Rfam family: Bacterial small subunit ribosomal RNA
Source: RNAcentral
AGAGAUUACAUGGAAUACCAAUUGCGAAGGCAGGUUACUACUAAUGGAUUGACGCUGAUGGACGAAAGCGUGGGUAGCGAACAGGAUUAGAUACCCUGG